Molecule: ribosomal RNA, 270 nt
Filed under: Salmonella enterica subsp. enterica serovar Montevideo str. S5-403
Lineage: Bacteria; Pseudomonadati; Pseudomonadota; Gammaproteobacteria; Enterobacterales; Enterobacteriaceae
Description: partial large subunit ribosomal RNA
Source: RNAcentral
GCGCGUCGUACAGCCUGGCUGUUGGAACAUGAAGCGCCGGAUGCGAAAUCAACCGAUGCCAAUAUUGCUUAUUGCAUGGCAAUGACGCCAGGAGCUGAACAAUUAUUACCCGUUUUACAGCGUUAUGGCUUUGAAACGCUCGAAAAACUGGCGGUUUAAUGGCGUUUUGGGUAAAUACCAGGCACUUGAGAAAUUAUUUUAAAUUUCCUCUUGUCAGGCAGAAAUAACUCCCUAUAAUGCGCCACCACUGACACGGAACAACGGCACACA